CUGUGGCUCCAGGCACCGCUGGUCUCAGGACACGUCACUGGAGAAGGGGAGGGGUGCAAGGCCCCUGUCCGCCGAGUCUGUGGCCCCACUGGUCUGCUUGCUCCUUCCCAUCAAAGCUUUUCCCCAGGAAUACUCCCUUUUCUGCACUGCUGGUCUGUGUUGUUCAGCCCCUCUCCCCAACCCUGCCAAGGCAGCUGCCAGGGAAACCAGGUGCCCUGUCCCAGCGUGGAUGCUUCACCUAAGCCUAUUUGGGUAGUGACCCAGAGAACUGCUGAGCUCUUCCUCACCCACCUCUUUGUCUGGGAACCAAACGGGAAGACUUCACUUCGGAGAUGUACACUCUUUACCACCUGUGGUCCCCUGGGGCUCUGCCCCUCUUCCUCCUGGACCAGUCAGCAUAUGAAGUCCCCUCCACAGGAUGGGCUGCAAGCAUGAGUACCUGAAGCCCAGACUUUUACUAAACUUGCCUGGAAGGAAAAUUCCCUUUCUUCCAUGGUCUUGGGCUGUGAGAACAGGUCCUGUUGGCAGCCACUUUUCCAUGUUAGGAGUGGACAUUUAAAAUUUUUAAAACUAAAAAACAAAAUUUUUUGGACACACUAUGAGACAUGUGGAAUCUUAGCUUCCCAACCCAGUGAUCACACCCACACCCUCUGCAUUGGAAGCAUGGAGUCUUAAUCACUGGACUGCCAGGAAAGUCCCAGGAGGGGACUUCAAAUGGUAGUGGGUGAUACAGGGACAUGGGAACAAAGCCCAGAGGAAAGGAGGAGACCCCAGAGUUUAUAAUGUUGGAGACUUCCGUCCCUUGGCUGCAAAGCAAAGGCUAAUAAACUCCAAGUGCAAGAAUGGGUCUAAGAAGGCUCUGAAUCACCCUUCAUCUCAAAUGUGCACUCAGCUUCUGCCUGGUAUAAAUUGGGAGCAGUGAGGAAUAAUAAAGGCGGUGGAAUCUUCUGUGAUAAACUCCUGCCAAAGAGCAUGAAAGACGGUGACAUAACAGACGAGCAGGAGAAGGAGGAGGAGGAGACGUUUACAAUUUUUUGUCUUAUUUUGUGGGUAUAACCAUAAAAAAGUAAUGUCUUCCAUUUGGA
This is a long non-coding RNA of Bubalus bubalis (water buffalo), 1085 nucleotides long. RefSeq lists it as uncharacterized. NCBI's taxonomy places the organism in Eukaryota, Metazoa, Chordata, Mammalia, Artiodactyla, Bovidae. The transcript has 3 exons. The record is from RefSeq and is a predicted model, not a curated record.